ACUGGCAGGCUAGAGUCUUGUAGAGGGGGGUAGAAUUCCAGGUGUAGCGGUGAAAUGCGUAGAGAUCUGGAGGAAUACCGGUGGCGAAGGCGGCCCCCUGGACAAAGACUGACGCUCAGGUGCGAAAGCGUGGGGAGCAAACAGGAUUAGAUACCCUGGUAGUCCACGCCGUAAACGAUGUCGAUUUGGAGGUUGUGCCCUUGAGGCGUGGCUUCCGGAGCUAACGCGUUAAAUCGACCGCCUGGGGAGUACGGCCGCAAGGUUAAAACUCAAAUGAAUUGACGGGGGCCCGCACAAGCGGUGGAGCAUGUGGUUUAAUUCGAUGCA
RNAcentral lists this ribosomal RNA (327 nucleotides) under Klebsiella pneumoniae. RNAcentral's name for it is "bacterial SSU rRNA". It matches the Rfam family "Bacterial small subunit ribosomal RNA", at positions 632 to 958 of the family's 1533-position model. The record is from RNAcentral. Lineage: Bacteria; Pseudomonadati; Pseudomonadota; Gammaproteobacteria; Enterobacterales; Enterobacteriaceae.